This is a non-coding RNA of Pelobates cultripes (western spadefoot toad), 839 nucleotides long. Lineage: Eukaryota; Metazoa; Chordata; Amphibia; Anura; Pelobatidae. The record is from the annotation of a GenBank genome assembly.
UUUCACAAGCCUGACAAUUUUAUUAUCUCAAAAAGUCUAUACUUAGUCUAUACAAUGACACAGUUCUGAAAAUACAGAAAUCUUUGAUUACCCAAUUAGUGUAUAAAGUGGCUAGGAUUAAAUUUGCGCAGACCCGGCAAAACUAUGACGCUAUGGCUGUACUGAUUACAUCGGGAGAGAAGAAGUUCAUGACAACUGUUGAACCAAAAGUUUAGAUCUCAGAAUGAGGCCAUUAUCGGUCACAGUCUGUUUAGUUUUCACUAAUAUUCUGUGGAGUUACUGCGACGUGUUGCCUUCCUCUCCAGCUCACGAGAGGUUAACAGCGGCCUCGCUAUGUCAGUUUGGGUCAGCCCUCCAUGUCCGGCUCAUCCAGGAAGGCUGAUGAAAGCAGAGAGAAUGUAUGAACAGAUAGCAGGAGAAUUCACAUUAUUUCCCCCAUGGCAUUGUGCAUCUCCUGAGAAGCUGGCAGAGCAAUACAGGCUGCCCAUUCAGACUGUCCCUUGGGUUUGGCAACAUUCCCUGAGAAGGAGGAGAAGGCAGAACAAUGAUAUAUACAUUCCAAGACAAUGCUGCCACCCCAGCCAACCAAUGGCAGACUCAGCUCCAUCGGCAUAUCCUCUGCACUGGAAACUGCUCGGCUGGCUGUGCCCGGAUCCCGGCUUCUGAUUGGCUUCUGCAGGGAGGCAGUGGCUGGACGUCAGAGCUCUGAGAGUGGGGGCCCUCGGCAUUGUUUUGGCUAUUUGUAAAUAGUAGAACAUGUGUUAUUUACCCUUCAUAUUGUGCCAGGCAGCAAGAUAAUCACAGUUCAAGCAGAGAAUACGUUAAGGAGGAUCUGUAAG